Long non-coding RNA from Arvicola amphibius (Eurasian water vole), 4843 nucleotides. RefSeq lists it as uncharacterized. The record is from RefSeq and is a predicted model, not a curated record. The transcript is spliced from 3 exons. NCBI's taxonomy places the organism in Eukaryota, Metazoa, Chordata, Mammalia, Rodentia, Cricetidae.
UAAAAUGACAGAAAAAUGUAAACAGGAAAUGAAGAUGACCUCAGGGCUAACACAGGCAGUAUCUGGUCAGAGCGCAUCAGACGGUUCAGUUAGUAGGCUGGAACAGCGGUGGGUCUGUAUAAAUCAUCUACUUAUAGGUUUAUCACCUCGGUUUAAAGUAACUGUGAAGCAAACGUUCUCAGCAAGCAUGGCGUUACUAUACCCGGGCCAUUCGUUUCCACUCCGGCAUUAGGACCUGACAGGGAUGGCACCACGGAGAAUAGAAAUCGACCAUCCAGACUUCGUCGUGCUUUCUCUGUCUGACGAGCUCAUUGAAAGUGGUGGGUGUCAGAGAGACCACUGAAGGGUUUCUCAGAUCCUAAAAAGAAAAAAAUUAUAUAUAUACCAAGUUUUUCAUGUACUUCUGGCUAGUUGCUGGGGUAUGUCAUUUAGAAAGUUCCUAUUUUUGAGAAAUCAAAAGGACACUUAAGAGAUAUUUAAAAGAAAUCUAUCAUGGAUUGCUUUAAAAAGUGAAUUACCAAAUUUAUUAAGUUUGGAUUUUGCCCAUCAGUUUUCUUAGAAGACAUUUUCACAUUGGCACUGAAAUCCCUGGAGGCUGGGAAACCACAUAAACAGAGCAUAUCAUCAAGUUCUGGGAGUAAUCCGAUAGUACACAGGCCUGCUAAUGCUAUUAUAUACUAAACAUAUCUAAUAUGUUUAGAAAUAACCACUUAAUUACUAACACAAAGCCUACUACUAUUAUUUUUUGGUAUUUAAAUAGAGGAGCUAUACACCUUUCUUGAGACUGUAUAUUCCGAAUGCAGUUUUAGGAGAGCCCCAGGCCUGUAUCGCAGUAAUUUACACACUAGUUUUCUAGGACAGAUGGAUACGACAGAGUAGAAUGGACACCAGUGGACAGAAGCCCCUGUGAUGGUCCAGUCAAGACUGAAAGAGCACCAUGGAGAUGCUGUGGAUGCAGGCACUUCCGUGCCAACAAUGCCUGGCCUUCUGCAUUGAGAGGAAACAGGCAAAUGGUGACAGGCUUCACGGGAAAUUCUAAUCUCAUGUAUUCAGUAGCAGUGUCUCCCAUAUACAAGACACCAUAGUAGGUAACAACAACAAAACAGAACCGAAGGCUUAAAUUUAAAAAAAAAAUUUUUUUUCACAAAAACAGUCUUCUGGCACAAAAAUAGUAAGUCCUAACACAGUUAUCCAAAGUACACAUGUAAACAGAAAGACUUCUAGCCACAGUCUCCAGCUGAAAAUACCUCUAUGAAUUCCAAGAUUUGUUCCGCAGAGUGGUGCCCUUCAUACUCAUGUAUGCUGGACUGGUUGAAUACCACUGUCGUUGGAUAAGCUUGGAUGUUAUACUGUGAGGAAGAAGAAAUUCAUACAUUUCACCCAUCUUUUGUUUCAAUUCCAUACAAAUCAUUUUAGAUAUUUUAUGUGCAUGGGAGUUUUGCCGGAAUGUACAUAUAUGCACCAUGUGCUUCUUGGUGCUGCAGGAGGUCAGAAGCGGGUGUCUGAUCCUGGAACUGGACUUACAGGUAGCUGUUUUCAUCAUGUGGGUGCAGAAAACCGAACCUGGGUUCUCAGUAAGACCCAGAGGUAAAUGUUCUUAACUGCUGAGCCAUACCUUUUAAUAGGACUCUAUACCUUUUAAUAGGACUGUAAAAAUCUACUGCUGUCUUCUUGGUGAUGGAAGAGAAGAAUGUACAACAAAUUUAACAAAGGCAACACAUUAGAGCUUGUACUGAUGGAGCAAAUCAUUAUUUGUUAAAGUCCAAUGGCACCAAAACACGGGAAGUGAGCCAGAGAAAUUGAUUAGUAUGCUCUUCGUCUAUUUGCCCUCUUCAAACUCGGAAGGAGGAGACUGAGAAGACCCAUGGGUCUCUUUGUCUCACGACAGUACUGGGGUCAACCUAAUGGGAGGUGAGCACCACCGUAGAACAGCAAGAAUAAAUGAACACGACUGUAUUUUGUAUUUCUUAGUGUAAUGCUCUAAGAAAAUGGUCAUUUUAUUCUUUACUCAAGACAGUUCUUGUGUAAAAUAUUUAAUUCCUUCUUCACAGUAAACACGGGCACUAGCAUUUUGUAGUUUUAAGGUACAAAGUGAUUUCCCCACCUAUGGACGUGUGAUCCGCUGUAGCUGAUCUACGGCUCCUCAAGUUGGUAAGAACCCAUUAGUAAAUAGAAAAUUUUAAGAUUCAUAAUUCUAGAAAAAUUAGCAACAUUAUGAAGUUUUGAAAAUGUGUGAAUUCAAAGCAUUUAGUAAGUUAAGAGACUAGCUAAAACUUUACAAGUUCGUAUUGUCUGCUGUGCUCUAGCCACAUACAAUCUCACUAGUUAACAUUACCAGACCUACCUUACAGACCUGGUAAACCAACUGGAGGAUGCGCAUGAAUGAUGUACAUGAAUGAAGGCUUACUUCAGGUAACUUAUUCUGGGAUUAGUCAGCGAGCACACUGUUAGCAAUCUAGACUGCAGCGCACAGUGAAGAACAAGGCCUCUGGCUCCAUGAAGUUUUCUGAUUACCCCACAGGCCAUGCUGACCAUCUACCUUGACUGCAGUGUCACAAGAAACUAGGAUGGCUGCUCCCAGGCCGAACCACCAAAUGGUUGUUAUCUGGGUAAAGAUACUACUUCACACUCAAACACUUAACACUGCCCUCUACCUUUCUCCUUUCUCUCUAGUCUCUAAAAUUCUUUGGGGCAGAAGUACAGCUCACAUCAUUUUCUAUUUUGUUCUAUUCUCUGUAUUUUACUUGGGACACAGAGGGGCUGAGUACAAGGUGCAGUACAGUUAUUAGCAACAUAAAGGGACAUGCUUACAGGCUCAGUUGCUUCCUAGAGGACGAGAGUAAGUCUGGAAGGGUAAUUUUUGGGGUUUGCUAAUAUCUGGAGAAGUGGAAAGAGUGACUAACUCAGAAGGCAGAGUCAUGUGCGACAGCACAAGGACUGAAGACCACGGUAUGUUCAGGAGUCAAAAGUGGGUGAAGCUAAGAUUAUCCGGGGAGGGGGGCAAAGGUGGGUGACGAGGCUACGAGAACAGCAGAAAGAGGUGUGAAAGCACCCUGACCCUCCAACAACUCUUACAGCUAGAGUUCCUAGACACGCCUGACAUAGUCCAGGUGCUGGGGACAGACAGCGAGCAAAACGCAGAGCGGUGGCAUGAAAACAGCGCGCUGGGUGCCGAGUGCAGACGAGAAGAAAGUACACCCGUAGACGGACGAGGGGGGAACAUCUCACAGCCAGAAGAGUUCCCGGACUGCACUUCAGCUUUUGGCUGGCAUUGCGCUCACUGACGUGCGCUGUUGACGGCUGGACUACACGGGCUCUAUUACUACACAGUGCUGAACAGCUUCUCACACACGGCUGGUGCUGAAUGAAUGAGUGAGUCAUCCAUCCCUCUGGCCGUGAACUCUGUCUCAGAUACCUUAUAGCCACCCUGCAAUCAUGUGGUGAAUGACUUUAACCUAGCAGUGAAGUGGUUCUGAACUUGAGCCUUCGGCCUGUGGCUGCGGAAGCAUCAGCGCUGCAGGAUGCCCUUACCCCCAUCUCACACCCUCCCUGUGCAAACGGAACCAGCCUGUCCGACCUACAAGUCAGCAGGGACCAGAGCAAGGACAAUUCCUUUCUAAGAAGCACAGGAAAGCAUACUUUUUCAAAACAUAAUUAUGACCCAAAUGUAAAACUAUCAUUGUAAAUCCAAAAGACUGAUUUCAAAUAUCCCGAAAGGCAAGCGAAUGGGGAAGUCUGUACCUGUGGACAGCUCUGUCACUGUGCUCCGGACGUGCUGCAUGGCGAAGCUCACCAAGCUUUCCUUUGACCGAUCUCCGUUAUACUUCACUGCAGCCUGUUGGUUUAGAUAAUGUCCUUACUUCUUCAUUUUCAAACGCUACCCAAUACUCUGAUUUAACAUUCUGAAUGAUGCUGAAGUUCUACUUCUUAACAACACAGUGUUUUUACAAAUGAUACUCGGAGAACCCCUAUAAUACAGAUCAUACAGAAUCCUGUUUCUAAUACCAUUUUUAACGACUUUAGUUCCCUUUCAUUACUGGAAGAGGGAAAAAGAUAGAUAUUAGAGCUGUAUAUCCCACGAGGCAGCACCUACAAUAUGUUGUAAUGUACAUUAAAUAUCGACAUAAAAUACGACAGAAACUGAUGGUCCUGAAAGUUUCAUACAGAAAUACAGAAUGUUUAUGAUAAAUUAGCUCCUAAAAUACGAGAAAGCAAAAACCAGCCUAAAAGUUUUCAUAUUGUUUUCUCUAGUACUUUAAUAGCUAUAAGGUCCACAAAUCUUCAAAAAUGGAAACAGCCCUUACCAUCCCAGACCUGAAGAUGUAGAGGCUGGGGUAGCUGCUGACCCCUUUCAUCCGGCAGAGCAUCCGGUCGUCGCCGCAGUUGACAGCUCCGAUGCGAAGUAACCCAUCCACUUCCUUAGCAAACUCUCUCCACUGACAGAAAGAGACAACAAGAGUUUAUGACAAUGUUUCUUCUCUUGAAUACUCCACUCUGUAUGAUUUUAUGUAGGAAAGUUUUCCUAAUAAAACAUGGGAAAAGGAUUUGGUAAUAGUCACAGGGAUUAAUACAAAAUAAUUUCCAACAAACUAGGAAAAAAGGAAGCCCAAAUAAUAAAAACAUCAACUAAGAAACAGGCUUUAGCAGCUGGGGCAGUAAGCAUACGUACAGUGGGGGCUAAAUCGUGGCAAUGUGAACAUCCCGGGGAGUAAAAGUUUACAAACCACAGUUCUCCAGAAUUAACAGCAGCAUCUGGAAGCAUACAAAACACAACGAUUUACUAAAGGUUAAAGCACAUUUUAAUCGUUUUGCUAAGAUCAGAAUAAAAAAAAUCAGUCCUAAA